GACGAACGCUGGCGGCGUGCUUAACACAUGCAAGUCGAACGGAAAGGCCCUGCUUUUGUGGGGUGCUCGAGUGGAGAACGGGUGUGAAACACGUGUGUACCCUGCCCUUGAUUUUGGGAUCACUUCAGGACACUGGGGAUAAUACCGGAUAGGAGCCCCUGCUGCAGGGUGGGGGUUGGAAAGUUUCGGCGGUGGGGGAUGGACUCGCGGCUUCUCGGCUUGUGGGUGGGGUAGUGGCUUACCAAGGCUUUGGGGGUUAGCCGGCCUGAGAGGGUGACCGGCAACAUUGGGACUGGGAUACGGCCCGGACUCCUCCGGGAGGCAGCGGGGGGGAUUAUUGCACAAUGGGCGGAAGCCUGAGCCAGCAACGCCGCGGGCGGGAUGACGGCCUUCGGGUGGUAACCCGCUUUCGCCUGGGACGAAGCGUGAGUGACGGUAAUGGGUAAAGAAGCACCGGCUAACUACGUG
RNAcentral lists this ribosomal RNA (468 nucleotides) under uncultured bacterium. RNAcentral describes it as "partial 16S ribosomal RNA". It matches the Rfam family "Bacterial small subunit ribosomal RNA", at positions 28 to 507 of the family's 1533-position model. The record is from RNAcentral.